Molecule: unclassified non-coding RNA, 308 nt
Filed under: Hevea brasiliensis (rubber tree)
Lineage: Eukaryota; Viridiplantae; Streptophyta; Magnoliopsida; Malpighiales; Euphorbiaceae
Source: RNAcentral
AAUUUUUGCUCAUAUAUGAAGAAAAUUGGGUAUCUUGGCCAUGUUUAUCUAAACUUGUUGAAAUAUCAGGAAAACAGAGCAGAUUUGCAGAGGAGCAAAAUGAUUGAAUUUCAUUUGACAGAGAUUCUUGAUCCCCUGUUGCUAGCUUUGAGUAUUUUGCAAAUUGUGCAGCAUUUAAUGGUGAAGCUUUGUUCAGAAGAAACCAUGGUUUGGGUAAUUUAUUUGAAAUUCGUUUGUUCCAGUAACGAAUUGAAUAAGCUUUUGGUGUAAAAGGGUUUACAGAGUCGCCGGAGUUUUCUCUGUUUCCG